GACGAACGCUGGCGGCGUGCUUAACACAUGCAAGUCGAACGGUGAACCUCUUCGGAGGGGAUCAGUGGCGAACGGGUGAGUAACACGUGGGCAACCUGCCCCCGGCUCUGGGAUAACUCCAAGAAAUUGGGGCUAAUACCGGAUGUUCACCGCUUCCCGCAUGGGUGGUGGUGGAAAGGGUUUCCGGCUGGGGAUGGGCCCGCGGCCUAUCAGUUUGUUGGUGGGGUAGUGGCCUACCAAGGCGACGACGGGUAGCCGGCCUGAGAGGGUGACCGGCCACACUGGGACUGAGACACGGCCCAGACUCCUACGGGAGGCAGCAGUGGGGAAUAUUGCGCAAUGGGCGGAAGCCUGACGCAGCGACGCCGCGUGGGGGAUGACGGCCUUCGGGUUGUAAACCUCUUUCAGCAGGGACGAAGCGCAAGUGACGGUACCUGCAGAAGAAGCACCGGCCAACUACGUG
RNAcentral lists this ribosomal RNA (463 nucleotides) under uncultured bacterium. Its description in RNAcentral is "partial 16S ribosomal RNA". It matches the Rfam family "Bacterial small subunit ribosomal RNA", at positions 28 to 507 of the family's 1533-position model. The record is from RNAcentral.